UGAUGGCUUGCGCCCCCCUUGGAUGCCUCCCGACGUCCCUCUCUCGCCUAUAAUUUCACAAAUAUUCCGAAAACCAUAAGAGCACUCUAGAAACACUUUUUCCGCCAUUGCAAAUCUCUAUUCCGAUGGGAGGCCAUCUAAACCUCCGUUCCGGUUAUGUGUCGAAAGGGAGAUCAAUCACAGAGGGCCUCUACAUCAACCUUGUUGCCCUCACCACAAUGUGUGAGUAGGUCACCAUAGACCUACGGGUCCGUAGGUAGCACCUAGAUGGCAAUCUCUCUCUCUUGUGAUCUUUAAUACCAUGUUGUUCGCAUCUUCGCUUUGAUCUAUCCGAUGUAAUCACCUUGUAUGGUGUGUUUGUUGGGAUCUGAUGAAUUGUGGGUUUAUGUUCAGAUUAUUCUGUUGGAAUUAUGCCCUAGAGGCAAUAAUAAAUAUAGUUAUUAU
RNAcentral lists this long non-coding RNA (444 nucleotides) under Hordeum vulgare. Its description in RNAcentral is "long non-coding RNA (HVUL_LNC015096)". The record is from RNAcentral. Lineage: Eukaryota; Viridiplantae; Streptophyta; Magnoliopsida; Poales; Poaceae.